GACUGUCCAUCUUCUAAAAGAUGGCAGCGUAGAUUGCCAAAAUGUCUCAGGAAUGACUGAUCCAGUGUGGACACCAAGACAUAAUGAUUCCGCCACUCAGUGCUUCGGUUUACUCCUCUCUUCUUGGAUCAUGAACCAAAAUAGCUUUAUCAACCUGCUUACUCUCAGUUGGAAUUAAAAGCCUUUCUUUAGUGGACAGCCUAGAAUAGCCUAGAAGGAAGCUGUGUAUGGUAUGCCUGGGGAACGCUCUCUGGUCUUAAGAAGAUGUGGUGCAUCUGGAAAGUAGAAGCUACACUCUUCCUCCAGUGGAGUCCUCGUGUCAGCUGAACUUCAGGGUAUCUCACUGAAUCUGGAGCUCACAGAUUUGACUAAAUUACCUGGCAAGCAAGCCCAGUCUUCUUCCUGUGGCCAUUUUCCCAGUGUUCCAAUUACAGAAACAGGAAGACUCCAUGCAUGAUUACCGCUUAGCAAAAUUCUGCAGCAUUGAAAGAACAAGAAAUAACGUGGUCCCAGAAAGCUUUAAAGAGGAGAAGGUAUUUCAACUGUGUACUGAGGGUUGCGUGGGCUUCCCAGGUUGCUUUCAUUGCUCUGGGUUGAAGAAGGAUGGACACAGAGGAUGGAAAAUGCUGAUGGAAGAGGCAAAGCAAGGUAAGGGAAGGACAGCCUGCAGGGUGGUGGCUUGCAUUUGGGGAGGUGAUGUCAUAGAGAGAAAGGAAAGACCAUGAGACUAGUGGGUCAAAAUGAAGGGGCCCAGUUACAUAAAUGCUAUUCAUCCUGGGAGGGUAUCAGAGAGACUUGGGAAAGUUGCCUAGUUUCAACAGCAGAGUGACUUCACUGGCUUUCUACUAUAGGUGGCACCAUCCUGAAGCAUUAAAGGAGGUAUUUUUGGUGAGAAUAUGGUGACAUCACUUAGGUAAUUGCUUGGUAGACAUGUGAAAUAUCUUGCAAGUUGAAGGAAACUGCAAAGGCUAUGAGGAUUACUGUUUUCAAAAUUUUUUAAAAAAGAAACAAGGAGGACAAGUUUUUUUUUUGCAACCCCAAUACUUAUUUUUAAGAACACAGGCAUAUUGCCCUCCACGAGCUUUUCUUUUUUGGUCUGGAACAUUCUUGUUGACAGCAGAAAAUAUUCCUUCUCUGCUUUCUAUGUAAAACUAAGAUAAGACAUUGUGCGAAAUAUUUCUUGUUCUUCUAGAUAAUCUUCUGACACUGUUUUUGAUUAUAGAUGUUACUAAGAAAUCAAAUAUGAAACAGGGAUAUGACCAAAAGAGUAUUUAUGACUUAAGUAUCCAUUUCGGACUAAGCUUGCAUUAAACAAAUUCGAUAUCUUUAUGUAAACGCAUCACUUUUGUCAAGUAUGGUCCCAUUUCUACUUUAAAAGGGAUCUCUUGUAUAAGUAACUAUUUGUGGUUUGAGGUGUGUGUGUGUGUGUGUG
This is a long non-coding RNA of Rattus norvegicus (Norway rat), 1432 nucleotides long. RefSeq lists it as uncharacterized. NCBI's taxonomy places the organism in Eukaryota, Metazoa, Chordata, Mammalia, Rodentia, Muridae. The record is from RefSeq and is a predicted model, not a curated record.